GGGGCCGUAGCUCAGUUGGCUAGAGCGUCUGCCUGUCACGCAGAAGGUCGCGAGUUCGAGUCUCGUCGGCCCCG
RNAcentral lists this transfer RNA (74 nucleotides) under Microgenomates group bacterium RBG_19FT_COMBO_39_10. RNAcentral describes it as "tRNA-Asp". It matches the Rfam family "tRNA". Rfam says of the family: Transfer RNA (tRNA) molecules are approximately 80 nucleotides in length. Their secondary structure includes four short double-helical elements and three loops (D, anti-codon, and T loops). RNAcentral also lists the same sequence under 2 other names. The record is from RNAcentral.